RNAcentral lists this ribosomal RNA (454 nucleotides) under uncultured bacterium. RNAcentral describes it as "partial 16S ribosomal RNA". It matches the Rfam family "Bacterial small subunit ribosomal RNA", at positions 28 to 507 of the family's 1533-position model. The record is from RNAcentral.
GAUGAACGCUGACAGAAUGCUUAACACAUGCAAGUCAACUUGAACUUCGGUUUGGGUGGCGGACGGGUGAGUAACGCGUAAAGAACUUGCCUCACAGAUAGGGACAACAUUUGGAAACGAAUGCUAAUACCUGAUAUUAUGAUUAUAUGGCAUCGUAUAAUUAUGAAAGCUAUAUGCGCUGUGAGAGAGCUUUGCGUCCCAUUAGCUAGUUGGAGAGGUAACGGCUCACCAAGGCGAUGAUGGGUAGCCGGCCUGAGAGGGUGAUCGGCCACAAGGGGACGGAGACACGGCCCUUACUCCUACGGGAGGCAGCAGUGGGGAAUAUUGGACAAUGGACCAAGAGUCUGAUCCAGCAAUUCUGUGUGCACGAUGAAGUUUUUCGGAAUGUAAAGUGCUUUCAGGUGGGAAGAAAAAAAUGACGGUACCAACAGAAGAAGUGACGGCUAAAUACGUG